This is a long non-coding RNA of Oncorhynchus tshawytscha (Chinook salmon), 625 nucleotides long. Lineage: Eukaryota; Metazoa; Chordata; Actinopteri; Salmoniformes; Salmonidae. The record is from Ensembl.
CCUCACUCUCAGAGAAAUCAGUAGUACUGCUAGGUUUUACACAGUAAUAAUAUAUAUCUGCCUCACUCUCAGAGGAAUCAGUAGUACUGCUAGGUUUUACACAGUAAUAAUAUAUAUCUGCUAGGUUUUACACAGUAAUAAUAUAUAUCUGCCUCACUCUCAGAGAAAUCAGUAGUACUGCUAGGUUUUACACAGUAAUAAUAUAUAUCUGCCUCACUCUCAGAGGAAUCAGUAGUACUGCUAGGUUUAAUACAGUAAUAAUAUAUAUCUGCCUCACUCUCAGAGGAAUCAGUAGUACUGCUAGGUUUUAUACAGUAAUAAUAUAUAUCUUAUAGGUUUUACACAGUAAUAAUAUAUAUCUUAUAGGUUUUACACAGUAAUAAUAUAUAUCUUAUAGGUUUUACACAGUAAUAAUAUAUAUCUGCCUCACUCUCAGAGGAAUCAGUAGUACUGCUAGGUUUUACACAGUAAUAAUAUAUAUCUGUCUCACUCUCAGAGAAAUCAGUAGUACUGCUAGGUUUUACACAGUAAUAAUAUAUAUCUGCCUCACUCUCAGAGAAAUCAGUAGUACUGCUAGGUUUUACACAGUAAUAAUAUAUAUCUGCCUCACUCUCAGAGAAAUCAG